RNAcentral lists this ribosomal RNA (404 nucleotides) under Taenionema palladium. RNAcentral's name for it is "partial 12S ribosomal RNA". The stretch from base 51 to 404 matches the Rfam family "Microsporidia small subunit ribosomal RNA", at positions 752 to 1207 of the family's 1311-position model. Lineage: Eukaryota; Metazoa; Arthropoda; Insecta; Plecoptera; Taeniopterygidae. The record is from RNAcentral.
UAAACUACGAUUAGAUACCCUAUUAUUUUAAACGUAAAUUAAAAGAGCUUGAGUAGUAAUAGUUAUGUUCUUGAAACUCAAAGAAUUUGGCGGUGUUUUAGUCCUUUCAGAGGAACCUGUCCCGUAAUCGAUAAUCCACGAAAAACCUUGCUUAAUUUGGUUUUCAGCUUGUAUACCGCCGUCGUCAGAAUGUCCUUAGAAGGUUUUAAUUUUCUUGAUUUUUAAUUAAAAAUGAUGUCAGGUCAAGGUGCAGUUUAUAAUUAAGUGGUGAUGGGUUACAAUAAAUAUAUUUAUACGGAAGAUGCUUUGAAAAAGGUGUUAGAAGGUGGAUUUGAUGGUAAUUUUAUUAAUUAAGUUAAUUUGAUUUUGGCUCUAAAACAUGCACACAUCGCCCGUCGCUCUUA